This 804-nucleotide ribosomal RNA is filed under the name uncultured organism. Its description in RNAcentral is "SSU rRNA". It matches the Rfam family "Bacterial small subunit ribosomal RNA", at positions 28 to 801 of the family's 1533-position model. The record is from RNAcentral.
GACGAACGCUGGCGGCGUGCCUAAUACAUGCAAGUCGAGCGCGGGAAGCUUGCGGAAUCCUUCGGGAGGAAGUGAGCGGACCGAGCGGCGGACGGGUGAGUAACACGUGGGCAACCUGCCCGUAAGACGGGGAUAACCCCGGGAAACCGGGGCUAAUACCGGAUAGGUGACCUUUCUGCAUGGAGGGGUCAUGAAAGGCGGCGGAAGCCGUCGCUUACGGAGGGGCCCGCGGCGCAUUAGCUAGUUGGUGAGGGAAGGGCUCACCAAGGCGACGAUGCGUAGCCGGCCUGAGAGAGUGAACGGCCACACUGGGACUGAGACACGGCCCAGACUCCUACGGGAGGCAGCAGUAGGGAAUCUUCCGCAAUGGACGGAAGUCUGACGGAGCAACGCCGCGUGAGUGAGGAAGGCCUUCGGGUCGUAAAGCUCUGUUGUUCGUGAAGAAGGGGUUGGCCAGGAAAUGGGCCGACAUUGACGGUAGCGAACCAGAAAGCCCCGGCUAACUACGUGCCAGCAGCCGCGGUAACACGUAGGGGGCAAGCGUUGUCCGGAAUGAUUGGGCGUAAAGGGCGCGCAGGCGGCCUCUUAAGUCUGAUGUGAAAGCCCACGGCUCAACCGUGGAGGGACAUUGGAAACUGGGGGGCUUGAGUGCAGGAGAGGGGAGUGGAAUUCCACGUGUAGCGGUGAAAUGCGUAGAGAUGUGGAGGAACACCAGUGGCGAAGGCGGCUCUCUGGCCUGUGACUGACGCUGAGGCGCGAAAGCGUGGGGAGCGAACAGGAUUAGAUACCCUGGUAGUCCACGCC